AUGUCUCCAGCAUUGGCAGGCGGGUUCUUUACCACUAAGUCCACCUGGAAAACCCUCAUGGAAGAUCACAGACCCAUUAAAGGGAUAAAGAGCCCUCCCAGUGUGUUAGGGCUUAGACCUGUCCUGAAGAACUUCACUUAUUCUCGACCCGAAGGCAAUAGGACACAUCCUGGUGAAAAGUUUUCCAGGCUGUUGAGACUACUCACAGUCUCUUCCCCUUCAUUCUCUCCUAACUUCUCCAUUGGACUCUUGAGGGGCCAAAUGCUUCCGUGAGGAGAGACCCUCCGUGAGGAGAGACCCACAGUGAGGAGCAAGGUC
This 318-nucleotide long non-coding RNA is filed under the name Capra hircus (goat). RNAcentral describes it as "lncRNA (ENSCHIG00000008284.1)". Lineage: Eukaryota; Metazoa; Chordata; Mammalia; Artiodactyla; Bovidae. The record is from RNAcentral.